This 460-nucleotide ribosomal RNA is filed under the name uncultured bacterium. Its description in RNAcentral is "partial 16S ribosomal RNA". It matches the Rfam family "Bacterial small subunit ribosomal RNA", at positions 338 to 795 of the family's 1533-position model. The record is from RNAcentral.
CCUACGGGGGGCAGCAGUGAGGAAUAUUGGUCAAUGGACGAGAGUCUGAACCAGCCAAGUAGCGUGAAGGAUGACUGCCCUAUGGGUUGUAAACUUCUUUUAUAUGGGAAUAAAACGUUCCACGUGUGGGAUUUUGUAUGUACCAUAUGAAUAAGGAUCGGCUAACUCCGUGCCAGCAGCCGCGGUAAUACGGAGGGUGCAAGCGUUAUCCGGAUUUAAUGGGUGUAAAGGGAGCGCAGGGGGCGUGUCAAGCCAGGUGUGAAAGUUUGCGGCUCAACCCCAGGAUUGCACUUGAAACUGGGAGGCUUGAGUGCAGUAGAGGUAGGCGGAAUUCGUGGUGUAGCGGUGAAAUGCGUAGAUAUCAGGAGGAACACCGAUGGCGAAGGCAGCCUACUGGACUGCAACUGACGUUGAGGCCCGAAAGCGUGGGUAGCAAACAGGAUUAGAUACCCGUGUAGUC